CCUUCUUGUGGCUGGGGGGCAAAGCGCGCGCGCACGGCGCCCAACGGACGGAGGGACUGGGCGAGUCUUUCCGACGGGCCGGCCGGGGUGAUUGCCGAUCGCGUGCUCGACCGCGACGUGGCCGACUACGUCCGCCUCCGCGCGGUGUGCCGUGCAUGGCGGCGGUGCUGCACCGAUCCACGCAUGAUGGAUGCCCUAGACCGCCGUCUCCACCCCCGGCACUGGAUCGUGCUCCCGGAGCAACUCUCCCCCGUCCACUGCCGUCGCUUCCUGAACCUCUCCACCGGCCAGGCCAUACGAGUGGAUCUCCCGGAGCUCAGCGGCCACAAGACGCUCACAUCGACCGCUGAGGGGCUCCUUAUCCUGGUGCACGACCGCAUCCACAUUCGACUACUGAAUCCGCUCACGCGCCACCUCAUAGAGCUUCCAUCGGUGACCACGUUGCUGCCUUUGGAAGAUGGCCACUAUCGCCGUGAGUUUUUCAACGGCCGACUAUUAGCGUGGGGUUCCUUCAUUGUCACCGAAUCUAUAUCAUUCCUGCUCUGCUUCUCCGGGUUCCUAGGCAUCGCCAAGACAGGUGACGAGUGUUGGAAGGUCAUACCGCGCGAAUACGGAAGAUUUUGGCCACGUUCAACUCCAUUGAUGUUCUCGGGCCGCUUAUACUGGGUCAUUGGGGACGAUCUCAUGGUGCUGGAAACGAGCGCGGAUCCACGGCUGAAGGUGGCAGCCAAGUUGUGUAAUCAUGUUUACACAGCGACUCAGUCGGCGCAUCUGGUGGACAACGAUGGGAAAUUGAUGUUGUUGCACUAUCAGCCUGCUAGGUCGCACUAUCAGCCUAGGUCGCACUUUGAGCCUCGCCCGAUGAGAAUUGACGUCUAUCGUGUGGAUUUUGAAAAGAAUGCCCUAUUCCCGGUCAAGGGAUUCAACGGCCGGGCAUUUUUUCUGGGCAAACUUUUCUGUUUUUCGGUGUGCACCAGGGUUUUCCCCUUUAUCAAGGGUAGCACUGUCUACUUGAGCUUUGAUUUCGAAGAGAGAAUCCACGAGAAUGUUGAGGCCUAUUAUGUUCCACAUCGAAGGGCCAAACCCAAUGACUGCAUCAUCUGGGACAAGUCCCUAAACUGGCCGCAUAGGGCCUUGCCGUCGCCGCAUAGUGUUGUCGAUUGUCUUUCCUUGUGC
This 1176-nucleotide ribosomal RNA is filed under the name Triticum aestivum (bread wheat). RNAcentral describes it as "partial small subunit ribosomal RNA". The record is from RNAcentral. Lineage: Eukaryota; Viridiplantae; Streptophyta; Magnoliopsida; Poales; Poaceae.